This 197-nucleotide unclassified non-coding RNA is filed under the name plant metagenome. RNAcentral describes it as "partial contains small subunit ribosomal RNA, internal transcribed spacer 1, and 5.8S ribosomal RNA". The record is from RNAcentral.
UCUCCGUUGGUGAACCAGCGGAGGAAUCAUUACCGAGUGCAAACUCAUAACCCUUUGUGAACCUAUAUCUGUUGCUUCGGCGGCUCGCUCUCGGGCGAGCCCGCCGGUAAUAUCAGUAUCUCUGUUUGAACCCGACGAUACUUCUGAGUGUUCUUAGCGAACAGUUAAAACUUUUAACAACGGAUCUCUUGGCUCUA